This 246-nucleotide ribosomal RNA is filed under the name uncultured bacterium. RNAcentral's name for it is "partial 16S ribosomal RNA". It matches the Rfam family "Bacterial small subunit ribosomal RNA", at positions 1246 to 1500 of the family's 1533-position model. The record is from RNAcentral.
GCCGCUACCACGCGAGUGGAUGCCAAUCCCCAAAACCUCUCUCAGUUCGGACUGGAGUCUGCAACCCGACUCCACGAAGCUGGAUUCGCUAGUAAUCGCGCAUCAGCCACGGCGCGGUGAAUACGUUCCCGGGCCUUGUACACACCGCCCGUCAAGCCAUGGGAGCCGGGGGUACCUGAAGUGCGUAACCGCGAGGAGCGCCCUAGGGUAAAACUGGUGACUGGGGCUAAGUCGUAACAAGGUACC